RNAcentral lists this ribosomal RNA (425 nucleotides) under Priestia megaterium. Its description in RNAcentral is "bacterial SSU rRNA". It matches the Rfam family "Bacterial small subunit ribosomal RNA", at positions 559 to 982 of the family's 1533-position model. Lineage: Bacteria; Bacillati; Bacillota; Bacilli; Caryophanales; Bacillaceae. The record is from RNAcentral.
CGUAAAGCGCGCGCAGGCGGUUUCUUAAGUCUGAUGUGAAAGCCCACGGCUCAACCGUGGAGGGUCAUUGGAAACUGGGGAACUUGAGUGCAGAAGAGAAAAGCGGAAUUCCACGUGUAGCGGUGAAAUGCGUAGAGAUGUGGAGGAACACCAGUGGCGAAGGCGGCUUUUUGGUCUGUAACUGACGCUGAGGCGCGAAAGCGUGGGGAGCAAACAGGAUUAGAUACCCUGGUAGUCCACGCCGUAAACGAUGAGUGCUAAGUGUUAGAGGGUUUCCGCCCUUUAGGGCUGCAGCUAACGCAUUAAGCACUCCGCCUGGGGAGUACGGUCGCAAGACUGAAACUCAAUGGAAUUGACGGGGGCCCGCACAACCGGUGGAGCAUGUGGUUUAAUUCAAACCAACGCGAAAAACCUUACCAGGUCUU